Molecule: long non-coding RNA, 4520 nt
Organism: Leopardus geoffroyi (Geoffroy's cat)
Lineage: Eukaryota; Metazoa; Chordata; Mammalia; Carnivora; Felidae
Exons: 3
Source: RefSeq, a predicted model, not a curated record
AUCAAAAAACAAAACAAAUUAACACAAAACCAGAAAACAAGUGUUGGUGAGGAUGUAGAGACAGUGAAGCCCUUGGGCACCGUUGAUGGGAAUGAAAAUGGUAGAGUCACUAUGGAAAAUAGCAUGGCAGGUCCUCAAAAAAUUAAACACAGAAUUAUCAUAUGAUUACCAGUGGUUCCACUUGUGUGUACAUGCCCUAAAGAACUGAAAGCGGGGUCUUGAAAAGACAUUUGUACAUUCACGUUCACAGUAGUUAAGACAUAGAAGCAAUCCGAGCAUCUAGCAAUGGAUGAAAAAAUAAGCAAAAUGUGGCAAAUACUUACUAUUUAUAUUAUUCAGCCUUAAAAAGGAAGGAAAUUCUGACCUAUGCUACAAAAUGGAUGAACUUUGAGAACAUCAUACGAAGUGAAAUAAGGCAGACACAAAAGGGCAAAUACGGUAUGAUUCCACCAACAUGAUGUACACAGAAUAGUCAAAUUGAUGGAGGAAAAAAAAAGUAGAUUAAUGGUUGCCAGGCACUGAGGGGAGGAAGGAAUAGGAAGUGACUGUUUAAUUGGUAUACAGUUUCAGUUAAGAAUGAUGGAAAAGGAUGGUAGUGAUGUUGUACAACAAUAUGAAUAUACUUAAUGCCACUGAAUCGUACUCUCAAAAAGGGUGAAAGUGAUAAAUUUUACAUUAUGUAUAUUUUACCACAAUAAAAAGAGUCAAGUGGAUAGAUUUCAAUUUUUGCUAAGCAAAAAUAUUCCACACUACCCGUCUAAUAAAGCAGCCAAGAAAAAAAAGAAAAAGGUGGUCAGUAGAGAACAAAAUCUAAAAUAUAAAAGGAUAAAUCGAGAGAACAGUAGAUCUUAUUUCUUUCUCUGAAAACUGAAUGAGUUGAACCAUGGUUUCUUCCAAACUUGGAAAACUUCAUGUUUCUAUGAGAAGGAAGAUAAAAUAUUAUUCUACACUGCUAGACCAGGUUUUUUUUUUUUUUAAUUAUAGGACCAAGACUAAUUUAGAAUUCUUUGCAGAAAGGAACAUAUUUAAAUUCAGAAGACCCUUCCUCUGAGUAUAAAAAUAAAUGUAGUCUAUCACACACACUCAUAGUUCAGAAGUCACAACCUUCAACAUCUCUCAGUGAAUGAACACAGGAAGUCCACUCUGUCUCACGUGUCUGGAGGUACGAAUGCCAGCCUAUAAAAAUGGAGCACCUGAGUCCUCCCUACAAUUUGGCAGCUAGUGUUCACCACGCUCUGGUGUUCUCCACUUGCUGAAAUAUCAAAACGGCAGCUUUCCAGACAAAGUGAGGAUGGUUGGUUGGAGCACCAAAGGAUCCUUCCUUCUAAAAAGAGUUUGCUUUGAGGAACCGAACAUGUUCUCUUAAAAACUGCAUUUUAACACGUAAUGCUACUUAUAGUAGUUUGAAAUAUACACAACUUCUUAAAAAUACAGACUUUGCAAGGCACACCAAGACUGAGGGAGGCUACCUUUAGAGUCAAGAGCAAUCACACUGGGGACCCCAAAUUUUUUUUUUAGGUUUUCAGAAAGAUCAAUCGCAGGUUCACUUUAAAUUAAAACAAAUGAAGUACCAAGAAAAGGAUGCAACCAAAAAAGUCUGAAAUACUAAGGCCACGACUGUGUUGCUUCAAGGAGUCACCCUGCUUGUGGGUAUUACCUCAUGGUUUCCCUGAAGGAUUACAUACCCUGCACUCUAGUGGAUUAUGGGAAAUAUGGGACUGUUUAUACUGAAGAACACACCCUGAUCAGGUAGAAAGUUCUCAUUUGUUAACAGUUUAAAAAGUCGAGGCAAUAUGGCUGAUUGAUAACAGAUAAUUACUAGGAACAAGAUAGAUUUUAGAAAAAAAUCUGAUUUCCUACUAAUAGGGAAAAGAAUCUCAAUUUCUAUUCUGCUCAUAUACAAUUAACAGGAAAUAUAGAAUAUUCCUUCUGUAUACAGAGGUAAGACCCAAGGAACUGCAAUAAAGCAAAGUGUCACAUAUGAGAGCCUACUUGCCCAUUACACAGAGAAGCUGAAGAACCAAGGGCCUUUUCCCCAUCUGCCCUGCAGCUCAAAUACAAACACAUGACAGAAGUUCCACCAAUAGAUGCAUCCACCCUUGACUCUAAAUGGGGAGCAAAUGUUGCAAAAUAGGGACCUUCUACAAGGUACAUUCCCUGGUGACAACUGUUUCUGGAAAAACAGGGUUUCUGAGGUAACAACAGAAGCAGAACCAGUGGCAAAGUUCAGUCUACACUGCCAGCCAGCACUGUUUGUGAUACAGGGCAUGCCAAAGUGUUUGGUCAUAACAGCAGUAGUGACCUCAAUGGUUAAGUUCUGUGGCACGAUUUUGGCUAUUAUGCUUAGGUAGGUGACCCAAAAUCUGAUUCUAGAGCUCUUCUAGAGAUUCUGGAAGCUAUUCACUAUCACUUUCAAAUUUGACCGAUACACUUAACCUUAAUUUCUCUAUCAGUGAACUAAGGGUAAUACUGUGUACCUUGAAAGUAGCAGAGAGAAUUAAAUGAGAUAAUGUAUGUUUGUCAACCUCUCAGAAGAAAAAGGUCUGAGACCCCUUUGCAAACCCGAUGGAAGCUAUGGUUCCGCCUCCCACAAGGGCUUCUGACACCACCACAGUUCCAUACUCAGUUACCAUGAGAGCCAUUCAGGAAAACAUACCCUUCUCCAGCCAUGUGGUGCCAAGGUAAUUCUACUCAUGCUAAGAGUUAGCAAAACUAGACAAUUCUAGACAAUUAGAGAGCGAAUGACACACUGGCUGCUCAGAAAGAUAGCCUGGGACAAAGAGAAGACCUCCACAGAAGAAAGAGCAGCAGAGUGUUUGACAACUAGUGAGAAGGCUAAAAACUCAGCGAUAUGCACGCAACUCAGUGUCUUCAAAGCUCAUUUAAAAGGUUUGGAAGCGUUAAAAGGAAUGUUCUUAUACUCAAUUGAGCUCUGGUAGAAAUCCAAAGUUUUAAGUUAAGGAGUGACUGAUAAUGAAGAUCAGUGCGAUUUUUGUUCAUACUUCUCAAAACUUCCCUCUGUUUGCACCUCUUAUUUAAUACCAUUUAAUUUGGUUAGUUUGUAUGCUACUAUUUGGCCAACGUUUAUGCUUAGCUUUUCCAGUAAAGCACUGUAUUAUUUUCAGCAAGUCCAGAUGAAUGGAAAAGUAUGUCUCUUUCAGUCAGUGACUCCAUGAACUAAGCUCAGGAAACCUGUAAUGAAAGCAACAGCUGACAGUGGAUCUAAAUCGAUGGCUAAGUCCCUAGAAGCACACAGUCUCUCCAAGGACUAUGGCCCACCUCUUCCAGUGUGAUGCAAAGAACCGGGUCUUUGGAAUAUGACAGACCUGAGUAUAAAUCUCUGCGGAAAUUGAACAGGUUGUCUACACCACAACACUGUCAUACCUAAGCAUUCUUACCUAUAAAAUAAGGAUGAUUGAAUACCUCCUUCAUAGGAUUCUUCUGAAGAUUAAAAAAGAAACUGCACAGACAGCAACUAGUGUAGCACUUGGCACAUGGUAAAGCAGGCAUUCAACGAAUGAUAGGUAUUAUGCACUAUGCUUCUAAAAUUCUAGGCUUUGAGUUCAUCGUGAUUUUUUUUUUUUCUACUAGCUUGUAAAACUCCUCAAGGGCAAAACUAGUGCCACAUCCAACUGCAUCUUACUUUUUCAUAAUUUCAACUCCCUGGAAAGUCAAGAAAUGGGGAAAACCACACAAAUUGGCCCACCGGUCCCCCAAAUAGUUAUUAUAAAUUUCAUGCGCUAAUGCCUAUCUAUUUUAGUAACAAGAAACCCCCAAAGGCUUACUGACUUUUGUUUCCAAGGUGACAGGAGCAAAUUAGGAGGUGACUGCUACUUUCCAUCAGAAAAGGAAACACCAGGAAAAAAAUCAUAGAAAGUAAACAUACGCACAUGAUCUAUACGAAAUAGUAAACAAAAUAAAGUCUAGCAACCAAAGCCUCUGUUCUAAUUGAGAUAUUAGCAAGUACUGAGUUAGAGACAAUGUUAAAAAAUACAGAGAGAAACGUACAAAGUUAAAAUGAUGGUGGUCAAAGUCCACUGACCAUAAUUGUUAAAAUUAGAAAGAAUCUUUGCACAAUUACCGCAAUUAUCUGUUGAGCCUCAAUACGUACAAAACAUAUGCUACACGUAAGCCAUGCUGCCCACAUAAACUAAUCCCCCCCCAUUAACUCCCUGAGGUAGGUAUUAGUAUCCUUAUUUUACAGAUUAAGAAAUCAGGGCUCAGAGGGGUGAAGCGACUCGCCCAAGAUCACAGGGCCAAUGUGUGACAUUUUCCAUCCCUGAACUAACUCCAAGUCUGUGCUCUUUUCCCAUAAUGCCACACUGCUCCUCCAUACUCUUAUGAAUUGCAAGAAUUGAUUCUAAGUUAUAAAAGGGAUCCUUAUGCUUAAACAUACAUAGUAAUGGAGAGUUCAUUACUCUGCCAGAUAGCACAGGGGUUAUGAGCACAGAUUUUUAAAUUUUCUUUAUUUUAGAGAAAGAGUGCACAAGCGGGGGGAGAGGAGCAGGGUGGGAGGAGAG